Molecule: long non-coding RNA, 1092 nt
Filed under: Strigops habroptila (Kakapo)
Lineage: Eukaryota; Metazoa; Chordata; Aves; Psittaciformes; Psittacidae
Description: lncRNA (ENSSHBG00005018206.1)
Source: RNAcentral
UUCUUCAGAGUUAUUUUAAUCAAUGAAAAACCGUGUUUGUGUGCACAGAAGGAAAACAUGCAGCGCUGGCAUUAACAGAGAGCUUUAUGCUUCAGGCUUUAAGAAACGAGGAUCAUCUCCACAUCUUCUCCUGCUGCUUGUGCCAUCUCCCAGAGCACAUGGUGCUGGCCCUGCAGGAGGGUCCUGUGCUCAGGUGAGAUGCUGAACCUCCUCAACAGCCAGGGAGGACCAGGGUGGUGGGGGAUGUCACUCGUGCAGAGGGGGCAUCUUGCAGCAGCGAGGGCAGAAGUGGGAAGGAGGGGAGGGCCGGGGUGAAGCUGAACUAGGGGAUUGCUGCACCAAAGCAGAGCAAUAAGCCUUGUAGGAACGUGCAGGUGGCCAGUGUCUCCUGCAUGAGAGUAAAAGUCCACCUUGGCUGCCCGCUGUCUCUCACCUCGUGAUACCUUAGAGUUGCUCCAUCAAUGAGAUGUGCCCAGAACCUGGGGCAGGGCGCUGCGGGAGCUGAGCACCAGGCUGCACACGCUGGCCGGUGCCGCCGUCCUCCGUGCCGUCACCCUCACCAGCCGCGGCGGCGUCCCCGGUGCGCUGCCCCCAGCUCCUGCGGGGAGCCUCUGCUCGCCGUCCCGGCACGGCUCUUACCUCAGGUGAGUGCUGGGGCUCUGCGGGUGGGAUGGCAGAGCCGGCCCCAUGCUGCUGCCGAGCAGUGCCAUGGUGCGUGUCUGGGCCGGGGGGCUGCAGGGGCGCGGAGCGCAGCGUGAAGUCGGCCUUACCCAGCAGAGCCUGGAAGAGUUCACUUUGGAAGAUGUGCGAGACUUUUCCAAUGGAAGCUUUUAGCUCCUGCUCCUCCGGGGACUGCAGGGUGCUUUGGUAUCUGGUCAGAAUUUCCACUGCCCGUUCAGGCGCUCCUUACCUUCCCUGCGGAUCAUCGCUCCGCCGUGGCCAGCGGCCGCUCCGCUCGGUGCCAGCCCCCGAGGAGCCGCCGCCGCCGCCCGCCUCUCCCCGCCCCGCCCCGGGGGGACCGGCCCAGGAGCCGCCUCCCGCCGGCACCGCCCCGGGAGCGCCGGCACCGAGCGCGCACCCGCGCCCGGACCU